Molecule: non-coding RNA, 72 nt
Organism: Pangasius djambal
Lineage: Eukaryota; Metazoa; Chordata; Actinopteri; Siluriformes; Pangasiidae
Source: the annotation of a GenBank genome assembly
UCCCUGGAGGGCUAGUGGUUAGGCCACGGCGCUCUCACUGCUGCGGCCCGGGUUCAAUCCCUGGCCAGGGAA